UAAGGAAUAUUGGACAAUGGAGGCAACUCUGAUCCAGCCAUGCCGCGUGAAGGAUGAAGGCCCUACGGGUUGUAAACUUCUUUUCUCUUAGAAAAAACUACUGGUUUCGUACCGGUACUGAUUGUACAAGAGGAAUAAGCAUCGGCUAACUUCGUGCCAGCAGCCGCGGUAAUACGAAGGAUGCAAGCGUUAUCCGGAUUCACUGGGUUUAAAGGGUGUGCAGGUGGGGUAAUAAGUCAGUGGUGAAAGCCCCCGACUCAAUCGGGGAACUGCCAUAGAUACUGUUAUUCUUGAGUGUAGUUGAGGCGGAUGGAAUAUGACAUGUAGCGGUGAAAUGCUUAGAUAUGUCAUAGAACACCGAUCGCGAAGGCAGUCCGCCAAACUAUUACUGACACUGAAACACGAAAGUGCGGGGAUCAAACAGG
This 425-nucleotide ribosomal RNA is filed under the name uncultured bacterium. RNAcentral's name for it is "bacterial SSU rRNA". It matches the Rfam family "Bacterial small subunit ribosomal RNA", at positions 355 to 776 of the family's 1533-position model. The record is from RNAcentral.